UUUAUUCAAAAACGACCUUGAUCAUAUGACACAUACAUGCAAUUCAAUCAAUCACAAAAAUUCAGGCAAAAUCACUCAUGCUUUCAAGUAGAUAGCAAGUAUAUCAAUAAGAACUCUGGAGCUCAAAAACCUCACACAAGCUUAUUCCAACAUCUAGAAGAAUACCCUUCUUAGCCUCAUAAUCACAAUCACAAAAUCACAAUGUGUCUGUUCACGUAGCUAGUGAACACUCCACCUGCAUAUCAACAUAUGGCAAUCUCAAUCAUCGUUCAACAACAAACAUCAUCAAGUAACUAUCUCAUGCAGUCAAAAAGUUAAACCAUCAUAACAAAAAAGUUUCAGACCAAGUACAUUAACCAACACUACUCAAUAGAAGAAAACCUAUACUAAGAAUUCAAAUCACAAAACAAAAGAUAAGAAAAUCCUGCUCUAAUGCAAGUAGUCCAUCAGUAGAUGCUAUGUAACUCCUCAUCCCAUGCUGUCAUCAUAGUCCUUCUCUUCUCAUUUUUCUACAUCUUCAAAAAUCAUCAUCCUCAUCAUCUUCCUCCAUAGCUGGAGCUUCAGCUGCUCCAACUCUGAUUCCUUCCUCUUGUUCCCCACAGUCUUGAUCCUCUUUCUUGAUGAGGAGGCCAUCCCUGCAC
Molecule: long non-coding RNA, 641 nt
Filed under: Vigna radiata
Lineage: Eukaryota; Viridiplantae; Streptophyta; Magnoliopsida; Fabales; Fabaceae
Description: long non-coding RNA (VRAD_LNC006587)
Source: RNAcentral